Molecule: ribosomal RNA, 508 nt
Filed under: uncultured bacterium
Lineage: Bacteria
Description: partial 16S ribosomal RNA
Rfam family: Bacterial small subunit ribosomal RNA
Source: RNAcentral
AUUGAACGCUGGCGGCAUGCCUUACACAUGCAAGUCGAACGGCAGCGGGGGAGAAGCUUGCUUUUCCUGCCGGCGAGUGGCGAACGGGUGAGUAAUACAUCGGAACGUGCCCUGUAGUGGGGGAUAACUAGUCGAAAGAUUAGCUAAUACCGCAUACGACCUGAGGGUGAAAGUGGGGGACCGCAAGGCCUCAUGCUAUAGGAGCGGCCGAUGUCUGAUUAGCUAGUUGGUGGGGUAAAGGCCUACCAAGGCGACGAUCAGUAGCUGGUCUGAGAGGACGAUCAGCCACACUGGGCCUGAGACACGCCCCAGACUCCUACGGGAGGCAGCAGUGGGGAAUUUUGGACAAUGGGCGAAAGCCUGAUCCAGCAAUGCCGCGUGUGUGAAGAAGGCCUUCGGGUUGUAAAGCACUUUUGUCCGGAAAGAAAUGGCUCUGGUUAAUACCUGGGGUCGAUGACGGUACCGGAAGAAUAAGGACCGGCUAACUACGUGCCAGCCGCCGCCGUAA